Long non-coding RNA from Suricata suricatta (meerkat), 401 nucleotides. RefSeq lists it as uncharacterized. NCBI's taxonomy places the organism in Eukaryota, Metazoa, Chordata, Mammalia, Carnivora, Herpestidae. The transcript is spliced from 3 exons. The record is from RefSeq and is a predicted model, not a curated record.
UUGAUUUUGACUCCUCUUUCCUCCAGAUCGGACGAUCCCACCCCACCCCCUGCUAAUCUCGUUACAGGUAACUUUCCAAUUCGGCGGCCCCACAGCCAAACCCUGUGGGAGAGUCAGACCUCCACUAAUAUUUGGAGUCCCUAAAUGCCUGGAGUGAAAAAGAAAGUCUACAUACAUAAACAGGAAGUGGUUUCGCUACCCAGUGCUUCAUCCUGGCAGUGUGGCAUUUCAGGCACAGGAGCCUAGCUGUGGAGAGACCUGCCCUCUGGCUGGCAUACCUCUCUGGUCCUUCGAAUCGCCAAAUUCCAAAAGGGGAAUAUGCCUUGGAAGAGGACUGUUGGAAGCCAUUUUCUGAACUCACUAAGUCGAGGAAAAAAAAAACACAACAAACUCCUUGUGAG